RNAcentral lists this ribosomal RNA (26 nucleotides) under Verrucodesmus parvus. RNAcentral describes it as "partial 28S ribosomal RNA". Lineage: Eukaryota; Viridiplantae; Chlorophyta; Chlorophyceae; Sphaeropleales; Scenedesmaceae. The record is from RNAcentral.
ACCUGAGCUCAGGCAAGGCUACCCGC